This 253-nucleotide ribosomal RNA is filed under the name uncultured bacterium. RNAcentral describes it as "partial 16S ribosomal RNA". It matches the Rfam family "Bacterial small subunit ribosomal RNA", at positions 524 to 776 of the family's 1533-position model. The record is from RNAcentral.
UACGUAGGGUGCAAGCGUUGUCCGGAAUUAUUGGGCGUAAAGAGCUCGUAGGCGGUCUGUCGCGUCGGAUGUGAAAACUCGGGGCUCAACCCCGAGCCUGCAUUCGAUACGGGCAGACUAGAGUUCGGUAGGGGAGACUGGAAUUCCUGGUGUAGCGGUGAAAUGCGCAGAUAUCAGGAGGAACACCGGUGGCGAAGGCGGGUCUCUGGGCCGACAUUGACGCUGAGGAGCGAAAGCCAGGGGAGCAAACAGG